RNAcentral lists this ribosomal RNA (499 nucleotides) under uncultured bacterium. RNAcentral describes it as "partial 16S ribosomal RNA". It matches the Rfam family "Bacterial small subunit ribosomal RNA", at positions 28 to 507 of the family's 1533-position model. The record is from RNAcentral.
GAUGAACGCUGGCGGCGUGCCUAAUACAUGCAAGUCGAGCGAACAGACGAGAGUGCUUGCACUCUCUGACGUUAGCGGCGGACGGGUGAGUAACACGUGGGUAACCUACCUAUAAGACUGGGAUAACUUCGGGAAACCGGAGCUAAUACCGGAUAAUAUUUAGCUUCGCAUGAAGCAAUAGUGAAAGACGGUUCUGCUGUCACUUAUAGAUGGACCCGCGGUGUAUUAGCUAGUUGGUGAGGUAACGGCUCACCAAGGCAACGAUACAUAGCCGACCUGAGAGGGUGAUCGGCCACACUGGGACUGAGACACGGCCCAGACCCCUACGGGAGGCAGCAGUAGGGGAUCUUCCGCAAUGGACGAAAGUCUGACGGAGCAAUGCCGCGUGAGUGAAGAAGGUUUUCGGAUCGUAAAACUCUGUUGUAAGGGAAGAACAAGUACGUUAGUAACUGAACGUACCUUGACGGUACCUUACCAGAAAGCCACGGCUAACUACGUG